Long non-coding RNA from Rattus norvegicus (Norway rat), 2199 nucleotides. RefSeq lists it as uncharacterized. The record is from RefSeq and is a predicted model, not a curated record. Lineage: Eukaryota; Metazoa; Chordata; Mammalia; Rodentia; Muridae.
CUCCCCUCGAACUUUCUUUUUCCCUUUGUCCUCUCUGAUUGUAGAAAAUGUUAAUAAACAGGAAACCUGGAUGAAGAAAAGAUGUGGGUGGGUUAUCUGAGACAGGAUCUCUCUGCAUAGACCAGCCUGUCUUGGAACGAUGUAGACCAGGCUGUCCCGAAACUCAGAGAUUCCCUGCUUGCUGCCUCCUGAGUGCUGCGAUCACACACCUUUCUUUACAUUUACCUGUAUAUGUGUCUAUCUGCUUGUCUGUGUGUGCACCACUUGACUGCAUGUACCCACGGAGGCCACAGAUUCUGAUCGUCUGAUUCCCAGAGCUGGAUUUACAGGCUGUUGGGAGCUGCCCCAUGUGGAUGCUGGGAACAGAAUUGAGUCUUCUACAAGAGCAGCAAGUGCUUGUAACCUCUGAGUGAUUUCUCCAGCCCCAUUGGUCGUUCUUUUUAAGACAGAGCCUUAUGUAGCCCAGACUGACCUCAAACUUACAAAGAAGUCAGAAUUGGCCUCCAACUCCUGAUCCUCCUACCUCAGCUGGCUGAGAACUUUGGGACCACAGGCAUGCACUACAAGGCCUGCCUACAAAUUACUUCAAAAGAGAGAACUAUUAGAGCAUAUGCCUGACACUUUAUGAUGGGGGAGGUGUCACUCUUUAAAAGGCCAGAUCCCACAGCCUGUCAGGAUCAAGCCUCCCUUCAGCUCUUUGUCGGAGAGACUGUCUGGGCUGUGACUUCACAUUCUCAAUUUAUGAUACCUGGCUCCUCCAGGCUCUCUGUGACAGACUCCAUGUUGAAGUAAAUUCUGUGUUCUGAGACUCCCGUCAGUUCCCACAAACUCUUAUUGCUGGAGGGAGUGCUCUGAAGAGGUUUCUCUGGUCUCUCUCCCCCAUUCAUCUCAUGUAGCCUUAGCUGGUCUGGAACUUGGUAUGUAGAUCAGGCUGAUCAAAAGCUUGCAGAGGGGCUGGAGAGGUGGCUCAGUGGUUAAGAGCACUGACUGCUCUUCCAGAGGUCCUGAGUUCAAUUCCCAGCAACCACAUGGUGGCUCACAACCAUCUGUAAUGAGAUCUGAUGCCCUCUUUUGCUGUGUCUGAAGACAGCUACAGCAUACUUAUAUAUAAUUAACUAAAUCUUAAGAGAAAGAAAGAGGGGUUGGGGAUUUAGCUCAGUGGUAGAGUGCUUGCCUAGCAAGCUCCGAAAAAGAAAAAAAAAAAGAGAGAGAGAGAAAGAAAGAAAGAAAGAAAGAAAGAAAGAAAGAAAGAAAGAAAGACAGAGAAAGAAAGAAAGGAAAAAGCUCGCAGAGCUCCUCUGGCCUCUGCCUCUCAAGGGCUGGGAAAUAAGGUUUGUGUUACUAUGUCAGUUUUAGAACCCCCCCCGCCACACCCACUCCAGUAGAGUCUGUGUGACGUGAAGCUUUUGUGCUUCGUUUCUAUCCAGAACAGAGGCCUGUGCCUAGAAUGGCUCGGCCUCCUGGAGGUCCCUGGCAGUCUCCCUACAAAAAGAUGAUGACUAGGGUCUAUGCUUGUGGUGGAGGUGCCUUCUGUGUUCUAGCCUUGGUGAUCUUAGCAACUUUAAGCUGUCAACAAUAUCUGAUUUUAAGAAUAUAGCAGUGUGGGAAGAUGGUCACGUACCUUUAGAUGUCUCAGGAACUGAAAGUUCAGAGACGGAAAUGUCUCACACCAUCAUGAUCCUGAUGAACUCAACGGCUGCGAUGAAUUCAACUGCUGUAUCCAUUAGCUCCCAGUAAAUAGGAGAGCAAUUAAUUACAGUUACUAACAACAUGGCUGUUCCAGAAAAGUCUUUUCCCCCUUUUGGAUAAGUUUUGAUUAGCAUGAUUCAAAAUAGUAACGAUUCUUUUAGAAAGAUCAUAGACAAGUUCCAACAAGUUGAACAAACUUAUCAAGAGUUAACUAUGGUUACAAAAGUUUCCUUACUAAUCUGAGGGGCCAUAAAUAUAGAGUUUAAACUUUAUUAUGACAAAGAUAAAUGAUGAAAACAUACCUGGUGCCCACAAAUCUGGCAGUAUAACUGCAGUUUUCUAAACUAUUGUUUGCAGUUGAGAACUGUUUCCUAGACUGUAUGUUUAGCUUUCCUCUUUGCAAGGGACAUUGGUGGGGUAAUGAAUAAGAGCUGGAUGACUGCCAAUUAUGAUGUACCUGUUCUAACUGCUUAAAUCUACGCCAAGAAGUAAAGCUUUUUGCAGCAGCAC